GGGGGGGGCAAGCGUUGUUCGGAAUUACUGGGCGUAAAGGGCUCGUAGGCGGCCCUCUAAGUCAGACGUGAAAUCCCUCGGCUUAACCGGGGAACUGCGUCUGAUACUGGAGGGCUUGAGUUUGGGAGAGGGAUGCGGAAUUCCAGGUGUAGCGGUGAAAUGCGUAGAUAUCUGGAGGAACACCGGUGGCGAAGGCGGCAUCCUGGACCAACACUGACGCUGAGGAGCGAAAGCCAGGGGAGCAAACGGGAUUAGAUACCCCGGUAGUCCUGGCCCUAAACGAUGAAUGCUUGGUGUGACGGGUAUCGAUCCCUGUCGUGCCGAAGCUAACGCAUUAAGCAUUCCGCCUGGGGAGUACGGUCGCAAGGCUGAA
RNAcentral lists this ribosomal RNA (373 nucleotides) under uncultured bacterium. RNAcentral's name for it is "bacterial SSU rRNA". It matches the Rfam family "Bacterial small subunit ribosomal RNA", at positions 527 to 898 of the family's 1533-position model. The record is from RNAcentral.